AUGUACAUGGAUGUUAUCAAUUCUAACUCCAUUCCUAGUUCCAAACAUGUUUGGAAAGUCAAAGUGCCUUUGAAAGUUAAAGUGUUUAUGUGGUUUGUACAUAAACAAGUCAUUUUAACUAAGGACAACCUGGCAAAACGCAACUGGAGAGAACCUAUAAGAUGUAGUUUUUUUGAUCGGGAUGAAUCCAUCAAACACCUCUUUCUUGACUGCCCGUUGGCAAAAAAUUUAUGGCGGUCGGUACACAUAGCCUUUAACAUUACUCCUCCGAAUUCUGCCAGUACGUUAUUUGGGACGUGA
RNAcentral lists this ribosomal RNA (300 nucleotides) under Triticum aestivum (bread wheat). RNAcentral's name for it is "partial small subunit ribosomal RNA". The record is from RNAcentral. Lineage: Eukaryota; Viridiplantae; Streptophyta; Magnoliopsida; Poales; Poaceae.